Molecule: ribosomal RNA, 912 nt
Filed under: uncultured bacterium
Lineage: Bacteria
Description: bacterial SSU rRNA
Rfam family: Bacterial small subunit ribosomal RNA
Source: RNAcentral
ACGCUGGCGGCGUGCCUAAUACAUGCAAGUAGAACGCUGAAGCUUGGUGCUUGCACCGAGCGGAAGAGUUGCGAACGGGUGAGUAACGCGUAGGUAACCUGCCUCUUAGCGGGGGAUAACUAUUGGAAACGAUAGCUAAUACCGCAUAAAAGUCGGCAUUGCAUGAUGUUGACUUGAAAGGUGCAACUGCAUCACUAAGAGAUGGACCUGCGUUGUAUUAGCUAGUUGGUGAGGUAACGGCUCACCAAGGCGACGAUACAUAGCCGACCUGAGAGGGUGAUCGGCCACACUGGGACUGAGACACGGCCCAGACUCCUACGGGAGGCAGCAGUAGGGAAUCUUCGGCAAUGGACGGAAGUCUGACCGAGCAACGCCGCGUGAGUGAAGAAGGUUUUCGGAUCGUAAAGCUCUGUUGUAAGAGAAGAACGAGUGUGAGAGUGGAAAGUUCACACUGUGACGGUAACUUACCAGAAAGGGACGGCUAACUACGUGCCAGCAGCCGCGGUAAUACGUAGGUCCCGAGCGUUAUCCGGAUUUAUUGGGCGUAAAGCGAGCGCAGGCGGUUAGAUAAGUCUGAAGUUAAAGGCUGUGGCUUAACCAUAGUACGCUUUGGAAACUGUUUAACUUGAGUGCAGAAGGGGAGAGUGGAAUUCCAUGUGUAGCGGUGAAAUGCGUAGAUAUAUGGAGGAACACCGGUGGCGAAAGCGGCUCUCUGGUCUGUAACUGACGCUGAGGCUCGAAAGCGUGGGGAGCAAACAGGAUUAGAUACCCUGGUAGUCCACGCCGUAAACGAUGAGUGCUAGGUGUUGGGUCCUUUCCGGGACUCGGUGCCGCAGCUAACGCAUUAAGCACUCCGCCUGGGGAGUACGACCGCAAGGUUGAAACUCAAAGGAAUUGACGGGGGCCCGCACA